RNAcentral lists this ribosomal RNA (446 nucleotides) under uncultured bacterium. Its description in RNAcentral is "partial 16S ribosomal RNA". It matches the Rfam family "Bacterial small subunit ribosomal RNA", at positions 330 to 793 of the family's 1533-position model. The record is from RNAcentral.
ACCAGACUCCUACGGGAGGCAGCAGUGGGGGAUAUUGCACAAUGGGGGGAACCCUGAUGCAGCGACGCCGCGUGGGUGAAGAAGCGCCUCGGCGCGUAAAGCCCUGUCAGCAGGGAAGAAAAUGACGGUACCUGAAGAAGAAGCCCCAGCUAACUACGUGCCAGCAGCCGCGGUAAUACGUAGGGGGCAAGCGUUAUCCGGAUUUACUGGGUGUAAAGGGGGCGCAGACGGCGAUGCAAGCCAGGAGUGAAAGCCCGGGGCCCAACCCCGGGACUGCUCUUGGAACUGCGUGGCUGGAGUGCAGGAGGGGCAGGCGGAAUUCCUGGUGUAGCGGUGAAAUGCGUAGAUAUCAGGAGGAACACCGGUGGCGAAGGCGGCCUGCUGGACUGCAACUGACGUUGAGGCCCGAAAGCGUGGGGAGCAAACAGGAUUAGAUACCCCAGUAG